CGUACGAUUACGAGUUUGAUCAUGGCUCAGAAUCAACGCUGGCGGCGUGCCUCAGACAUGCAAGUCGAACGAUUAAAGCUCUCUUCGGAGAGUGUAUAGAGUGGCGCACGGGUGAGUAACACGUAAGUAAUCUACCCUCGAGUGGGGAAUAACAACCGGAAACGGUUGCUAAUACCGCAUAAUGCAGCGGCACCGCAAGGUGACAGUUGUUAAAGAUUUAUCGCUUGAGGAGGAGCUUGCGGCAGAUUAGCUAGUUGGUAGGGUAACGGCUUACCAAGGCUACGAUCUGUAACCGGUCUAAGAGGACGGUCGGUCACACUGACACUGAAUAACGGGUCAGACUCCUACGGGAGGCAGCAGUCGGGAAUUUUGGGCAAUGGGCGAAAGCCUGACCCAGCAACGCCGCGUGAAGGAUGAAGUAUUUCGGUAUGUAAACUUCGAAAGAAUAGGAAGAAUUAAUGACGGUACUAUUUAUAAGGUCCGGCUAACUACGUG
Molecule: ribosomal RNA, 495 nt
Filed under: uncultured bacterium
Lineage: Bacteria
Description: bacterial SSU rRNA
Rfam family: Bacterial small subunit ribosomal RNA
Source: RNAcentral